RNAcentral lists this ribosomal RNA (119 nucleotides) under Oreochromis aureus. Lineage: Eukaryota; Metazoa; Chordata; Actinopteri; Cichliformes; Cichlidae. The record is from RNAcentral.
GCUUACGACCAUACCACCCUGAGCACGCCCGAUCUUGACUGAUCUUGGAAGAUAAGCAGGGUUGGGCUUGGUUAGGACUUGGAUGGGAAGCUGCCUGGGAAUACCAGGUGCUGUAAGCU